This 546-nucleotide ribosomal RNA is filed under the name uncultured bacterium. Its description in RNAcentral is "bacterial SSU rRNA". It matches the Rfam family "Bacterial small subunit ribosomal RNA", at positions 959 to 1511 of the family's 1533-position model. The record is from RNAcentral.
ACGCGAAGAACCUUACCUAGCCUUGACAUAUUUAAGAACUCCGUAGAGAUACAGAGGUGCCUUCGGGAGCUUUCUUACAGGUGCUGCACGGCUGUCGUCAGCUCGUGUCGUGAGAUGUUGGGUUAAGUCCCGCAACGAGCGCAACCCUCGUCACUAGUUACUAACGGUUCGGCCGAGGACUCUAGUGAGACUGCCUUCGCAAGGAGGAGGAAGGUGAGGACGACGUCAAGUCAUCAUGGCCCUUACGGCUAGGGCAACACACGUGCUACAAUGGCCAGGACAGUGAGACGCGAUACCGCGAGGUGGAGCAAAUCUAUAAACCUGGUCUCAGUUCGGAUUGUAGUCUGCAACUCGACUACAUGAAGCUGGAAUCACUAGUAAUCGUAGAUCAGCUAUGCUACGGUGAAUACGUUCCCGGGUCUUGUACUCACCGCCCGUCACACCAUGGGAGUUGAUUUCACCCGAAGCGGGGAAGCUAAGCUGGCUACCCUCCACGGUGGAAUUAGCGACUGGGGUGAAGUCGUAACAAGGUAACCUUAAUUAAAA